CACCAGCAGCUCAAGUGGUGAUCACGUUUACUGGGUUUAAAGGGUGCGUAGUCGGUUUAGCAAGUUUUCUGUGAAAUCCUGGCGCUUAACGUCAGGGAUUGCAGAAAAUACUACUAGGCUAGAGACCGGGGUAGGAGUGAGGUAUUCUAGGGGUAGCGGUGAAAUGCUAUAAUCCCUGGAGGACCACCAGUAGCGAAGGCGUCACUCUGGAACGGGUCUGACGAUGAGGUACGAGAGCUAGGGGAGCAAACAG
This 253-nucleotide ribosomal RNA is filed under the name uncultured archaeon. RNAcentral describes it as "partial 16S ribosomal RNA". It matches the Rfam family "Archaeal small subunit ribosomal RNA", at positions 474 to 726 of the family's 1478-position model. The record is from RNAcentral.